Molecule: ribosomal RNA, 897 nt
Filed under: Triticum aestivum (bread wheat)
Lineage: Eukaryota; Viridiplantae; Streptophyta; Magnoliopsida; Poales; Poaceae
Description: partial small subunit ribosomal RNA
Source: RNAcentral
UACUUCCUACUUCGAUUACUCCAACACCUCCGCUAACGGUUCUUCUAACAGGUUCUGUACGGGAUACUCCGCGCGCAACUACGACACCACUUCAUAAAGCGCGUGCUUGCGUUUUAAGAAGAGUUUUUCAGAGAUCGGGCCUCUCACGUAGAGUGGGCAAGGUACAUGUACUUCCGCCAAAGGAGCACCACGUUGUUGUUACAAGGAACGAUGGUCGUUUAGUAUAGGUUUACCUAUCUGGGCCUCACCUCCCGGGUUGUAGCUUACCGAAGCCUCGCCGCACGGAACUACCCACCAGGCCAUGUGGAAGUUCCGUUGGAGUUGGAGGUGCGAAUGCACGUCUUCUUCUUAUCCCUCUCUCUACUCCCGGUUCUCUUCGAGUUAUGGAAGUGCCCUAAUACAGAGAGGGCGUUCAGUUUCUUUGGCCUUCCCCCCACCCAGUUAGGUCCGCGAUCGAACUCCUAACUACGUAUGUCACCCUUCAAGUUCCUCGUGUUGCACGGACUGAGACUAGGCCGGAGUGUCCUGUAACUGCGAUGUUAAAGGGAGGUCAACCCUCUACCGUUCUUCCCACCAGCCAAUAUACAACCGCUGCCACGGUAGGCAUUCAUCCUGUAGGGUUUUGAGAGAGUGGAGGCACGAUGGUGCAGCUCGAGUCCAGGACGAUAUCUCGCAGCGGGUGUCGGACCCGAUGUGUACGAGGUAGUUGAGCUCCGGUUACGGUCCGAAGCUCUCCUCCUUCGGUACUUUUACGUCGUCCGGGACAAAGUUGUCGUUCUUAAGUACCAAUUUGUUGUCCGUUAGGACGUCCUCUGUAAACGAGUUGAGUCUUUAUUAUACGUCCCAAGGUGAAACGGGCAAGAAGGAGGAGAAGGCUGAGAAGGAUUAAAGUUGAAA